AUACGGGGGGUGCAAGCGUUAUUCGGAUUUAUUGGGCGUAAAGGGCGCGUAGGCGGCUUGGUAAGUCAGAUGUGAAAGCCCGGGGCUCAACCCCGGAAGUGCAUUUGAAACUAUCAGGCUUGAGUAUGGGAGAGGGAAGUGGAAUUCCUGGUGUAGAGGUGAAAUUCGUAGAUAUCAGGAGGAACACCGGUGGCGAAGGCGACUUCCUGGACCAAUACUGACGCUGAGGGACGAAAGCGUGGGGAGCAAACAGGAUUAGAAACCCCAGUAGUCC
Molecule: ribosomal RNA, 274 nt
Filed under: uncultured bacterium
Lineage: Bacteria
Description: partial 16S ribosomal RNA
Rfam family: Bacterial small subunit ribosomal RNA
Source: RNAcentral